This 411-nucleotide long non-coding RNA is filed under the name Mus spicilegus (steppe mouse). RNAcentral describes it as "lncRNA (ENSMSIG00000012811.1)". Lineage: Eukaryota; Metazoa; Chordata; Mammalia; Rodentia; Muridae. The record is from RNAcentral.
AUUCCAGGAGCCUCAUUCCUGCCCCUAAUUGCUAUUCUAGUUAUUCUAAGGUGGUCCAUGGAGAGCCCUGGGAAGGAUUACGAAUCAUUCCAUUCAUAUCCAGCACCUCUGCCAGCGAGGGAUGUAAGACAACGCUUAAGGCUGUCAACACAAUGGUUAUCUUUGAAAACUGUGGUGUGUGUUUGUGGAGAUCGCCUAUUUGGUACACAAGAGGAUGAAUCUUCCCAGACCAGAGAGAGCACCAGGCCUCCUAGGCAUUGCCAUUAGCAAAGGGAUGCUGGUGCCAGGCUGAGGAAAGGACCAGGAACAAGGUUCUCCACACAUCCUCCAUCCGUGCGUUCCAGGGCUCGUGGGUUUGCUUCAGCCAAAACCUCGAACGAGCCACAUCCUUGUGUUCUUGACUGUGAUGAG